This 448-nucleotide ribosomal RNA is filed under the name uncultured bacterium. RNAcentral's name for it is "SSU rRNA". It matches the Rfam family "Bacterial small subunit ribosomal RNA", at positions 26 to 518 of the family's 1533-position model. The record is from RNAcentral.
AGAGCGAACGCUGGCGGCAGGCUUAACACAUGCAAGUCGAGCGGGCACCUUCGGGUGUCAGCGGCAGACGGGUGAGUAACACGUGGGAACGUACCCUUCGGUUCGGAAUAACGCUGGGAAACUAGCGCUAAUACCGGAUACGCCCUUUUGGGGAAAGGUUUACUGCCGAAGGAUCGGCCCGCGUCUGAUUAGCUAGUUGGUGGGGUAACGGCCUACCAAGGCGACGAUCAGUAGCUGGUCUGAGAGGAUGAUCAGCCACACUGGGACUGAGACACGGCCCAGACUCCUACGGGAGGCAGCAGUGGGGAAUAUUGGACAAUGGGCGCAAGCCUGAUCCAGCCAUGCCGCGUGAGUGAUGAAGGCCUUAGGGUUGUAAAGCUCUUUUGUCCGGGACGAUAAUGACGGUACCGGAAGAAUAAGCCCCGGCUAACUUCGCGCCAGCAGCCGC